AUCCAGCUGAAGAGUCCCAAAUAGGGUGGCACGCGCGUCGUGGGU
This is a non-coding RNA of Schistosoma rodhaini, 45 nucleotides long. The record is from Rfam. NCBI's taxonomy places the organism in Eukaryota, Metazoa, Platyhelminthes, Trematoda, Strigeidida, Schistosomatidae.